Long non-coding RNA from Betta splendens (Siamese fighting fish), 1205 nucleotides. RefSeq lists it as uncharacterized. The transcript has 3 exons. NCBI's taxonomy places the organism in Eukaryota, Metazoa, Chordata, Actinopteri, Anabantiformes, Osphronemidae. The record is from RefSeq and is a predicted model, not a curated record.
UUGACUGUGCACAGAUCAAUCUACAACAUCAGAGACACUGAGUUCCAUGUGCACUGAUAAACAGGGAGGUUGUUGUGUCUUAUUGUAUGAAAAGACAUGAAUAGACAUAAACAAGAUAGAAAUAUAUCAGUGAUGUAGCGGCCCAGGACUAAUCAGCACUAAGGAUUAUGGAUAGAGUUGUGUUGGAGGUGUUUUAUGUGUUGUAGUUAUGUAUGGGAGUAGUUUGGUGUAAUUUUGGCAUAUGUCUUAGGUCCCGCAGUGUAUUGCAGUGUGGUGCACAGGCAUCCUCACCCCACUAGCUAUACGUAGGCUUAGCUGCUCAGUUAGCCUUGGCUUAGCUCGCCUGGCUUCUCACCAACACGUGAUGUCCUCAGCCAUUACCAUUACAUCAUGAAGAUAUACACAAACAUGCAAGCAGUUGCACUGUGGAUUACGCAAUGGUGCAGUGGGUAGCACUGUCGCCUCACAGCAAGAAGGUCCUGGAGCUGACCGGGUGCCUUUCUGUGGAGUUUGCAUGUUUGCAUGCUCUCGCUGUGUUCGCGUGGGUUCUCCUCCCAUGGUCUAAAGACAUGCAUUAGGUUGAUUAGUCACUCUGAAUUGCCCAUAGGUGUAAGUGUGCGAAUGGUUGUCUGUCUGUGUGGUGCCCUCCGAUGGACUGGCGACCAAGUCGGUAACUUGUUUCACAUGUGGGAUUAGUUUGCAGAGCUGACCAAUGGCGGCCUAAGAUUGGCUUCACCCGGCAGGAGUCGGCUCUUCUCCUUCGCUACAAAGCAUCGGCUCUUGCAGCCAGUGAAAUCCACCUGCAGCUAACGGAUUAAUCCUCCGACACCAUCUCUGCCUCCUCCACCGCUCCAUCGGUUCUGACACCUGCCCCUGACCCCUGGCAGUUCCUCCCCUCUUUGCACUCCUUAGCUCCCUGAUCUGAGCUUCCAUAGAUGCUGUUUAACCUCUGUAUUCCAGCAAUAAAUAUUGCCUGCUCACUCACAGUUGUCACAGUCUGGGGUUUUUGCCUGCAUUUCCUGUUUUAUUUUUGUAGUAUUUCCGGUUUCUGUUCAGUCAUGCCUUUUCCUGCUUUAUGUUUUAGUCACGUGACCACACAGCUGUUUUCAACCCGGUCUUUUAGUCCAGUACAUAAUCCCUGGCUCGAAAUGAUUUGGUAGUGAACCAGCAGCUCCUGCUCUGCUGUGUCUUGGUAUGGGGAUGAU